UGGGUGUUUGAAGAGAGAGAAUUCCAUUUGGUUUUGGAAAAAAAGGGGAGAUUUCCAGAGCCCUGAAGCAUUGAACUUAUGGCUAAGAUAACUGCAGGGGUGCCAUGAGCCAGGGACGUGAGGCAACU
Long non-coding RNA from Ipomoea nil (Japanese morning glory), 128 nucleotides. RefSeq lists it as uncharacterized. The transcript has 3 exons. Lineage: Eukaryota; Viridiplantae; Streptophyta; Magnoliopsida; Solanales; Convolvulaceae. The record is from RefSeq and is a predicted model, not a curated record.